Molecule: long non-coding RNA, 790 nt
Organism: Syngnathoides biaculeatus (alligator pipefish)
Lineage: Eukaryota; Metazoa; Chordata; Actinopteri; Syngnathiformes; Syngnathidae
Exons: 3
Source: RefSeq, a predicted model, not a curated record
AGGCCACGUGAUGUUUAGAAAGACUAAAAAGUUGCAAUCUUCGAAUGGCAGCCCAUCUGUUUGGCUCACUCAGUUUCCAGUUCGGGCUCCACGCUUGAGUUCCACCUUGCAUGACGGGAAAACACGUGAGAUGGCAGUAAAAGAGCAAAUACAGCAAAUACAUAGAACGGCUCAUUCCACUUCACAUCACAGCCACUAUGGUUUCAUUUGCACCGGCCCUGAGGACACGACAGCUCUGAAGACACAAGAGUUGUAAGCAAGGAACUAAUGUCAUCAAAUAGUUCAAAUGAAAGCUUAAAAAAGCUGUUUCCUCUUCAUGUCUUUUUUCAAUGUUGUUGUGAACACAAAUCAAAUAAGACACAAACAUGACACACACAAGGUGGAGACGUCUGACCUUCCCACAUGUUGGAAAAAGCUGACCCCUGCACUUGAACAUGCUGCUGGACUGUAAAUAUUCAAACAAGGGCUUUGGGAGCGCUGGAGCCUUUCCCAGCUAAUUUGAGGCAGGAGGCGGGGUAUACCCUGAAUUGAUUACCAGCCAGUCGCAGACUUGCAUCUAAGUUGAAGGACCUUGACCUCUCCAAAUCCAUUUGCAAGUGGCUUCAUAACUUUCUGACAGCAAGACAGCUGAUGGUAAGAUGUUAGAAACCUCCACUCAUUUACCCCAGUUUUGAACACAGGUGGGGCACCUAACAAGGCACUUGGGCCAUCCGGAUGAAAGUUACUCAAGAGUUACUCGGUACCUGGAUAGCUUCCUAUACUUAGUACUUUCUUACUCUUACUCAAGUAA